UACGUAGGCAGCAAGCGUUGUUCGGAGUUACUGGGCGUAAAGGGUGUGUAGGCGGUUGAUUAAGUUCGGUGUGAAAUCUCCCGGCUCAACUGGGAGGGUGCGCCGAAUACUGAUUGACUAGAGUGCGGGAGAGGUGAGUGGAAUUCCUGGUGUAGCGGUGAAAUGCGUAGAUAUCAGGAGGAACACCGGCGGUGUAGACGGCUCACUGGACCGCGACUGACGCUGAGACACGAAAGCGUGGGUAGCAAACAGG
This 253-nucleotide ribosomal RNA is filed under the name uncultured Acidobacteriota bacterium. Its description in RNAcentral is "uncultured Acidobacteria bacterium partial 16S ribosomal RNA". It matches the Rfam family "Bacterial small subunit ribosomal RNA", at positions 524 to 776 of the family's 1533-position model. Lineage: Bacteria; Pseudomonadati; Acidobacteriota. The record is from RNAcentral.